UACUAGUUGCUGAUCUGAUUUAUUAAGACACAUACUAGUGGGUGUAUUUAUAACAGUUUAGGGUUCUGUUUUCACUAUAUUAAAGAAUACCUUUUUAUUUCCAGCAAAUUUAGUAAACAAAAUUCAUAAGUAGUGUUUUCAAUAUAGAAAGGUAAGAAUACACUAUCUUUUUGCUCAAUUAGUUGUCGAUUGUCUAGGGGAAAUAAAUUGCAACUUUGUUUGCAACACUAGCUUUACUUGUCUUCGCAGUCUCUCUCAUGCGAGAGGUUGACCAUUCCUCUGAAUGCUAAUCUCAGAAGCCC
Molecule: long non-coding RNA, 302 nt
Filed under: Musa acuminata (dwarf banana)
Lineage: Eukaryota; Viridiplantae; Streptophyta; Magnoliopsida; Zingiberales; Musaceae
Description: long non-coding RNA (MACU_LNC010799)
Source: RNAcentral